UACGUAGGGCGCAAGCGUUGUCCGGAAUUAUUGGGCGUAAAGAGCUCGUAGGCGGCUUGUCACGUCGGGUGUGAAAGCCCGGGGCUUAACCCCGGGUCUGCAUUCGAUACGGGCUAGCUAGAGUGUGGUAGGGGAGAUCGGAAUUCCUGGUGUAGCGGUGAAAUGCGCAGAUAUCAGGAGGAACACCGGUGGCGAAGGCGGAUCUCUGGGCCGAUACUGACGCUGAGACGCGAAAGCGUGGGGAGCGAACAGG
Molecule: ribosomal RNA, 253 nt
Filed under: uncultured bacterium
Lineage: Bacteria
Description: partial 16S ribosomal RNA
Rfam family: Bacterial small subunit ribosomal RNA
Source: RNAcentral